Molecule: ribosomal RNA, 394 nt
Filed under: uncultured bacterium
Lineage: Bacteria
Description: bacterial SSU rRNA
Rfam family: Bacterial small subunit ribosomal RNA
Source: RNAcentral
GUGUCAGCCGCCGCGGUAAUACGUAGGGGGCAAGCGUUGUCCGGAAUUAUUGGGCGUAAAGCGCGCGCAGGCGGUGAUUUAAGUUUGGUGUUUAAUCCCGGGGCUCAACCCCGGGUCGCACUGAAAACUGGGUCACUUGAGUGCGGGAGAGGAAAGUGGAAUUCCACGUGUAGCGGUGAAAUGCGUAGAGAUGUGGAGGAACACCAGUGGCGAAGGCGACUUUCUGGACCGUAACUGACGCUGAGGCGCGAAAGCGUGGGGAGCAAACAGGAUUAGAUACCCUGGUAGUCCACGCCGUAAACGAUGAGUGCUAGGUGUUAGGGGUUUCGAUACCCUUGGUGCCGAAGUUAACACAGUAAGCACUCCGCCUGGGGAGUACGCUCGCAAGAGUGAA